This 468-nucleotide ribosomal RNA is filed under the name uncultured bacterium. RNAcentral describes it as "partial 16S ribosomal RNA". It matches the Rfam family "Bacterial small subunit ribosomal RNA", at positions 28 to 507 of the family's 1533-position model. The record is from RNAcentral.
GACGAACGCUGGCGGCGUGCUUAACACAUGCAAGUCGAACGGAAAGGCCCUGCUUUUGUGGGGUGCUCGAGUGGCGAACGGGUGAGUAACACGUGAGUAACCUGCCCUUGACUUGGGGAUAACUUCAGGAAACUGGGGCUAAUACCGGAUAGGAGCUCCUGCUGCAUGGUGGGGGUUGGAGAGUUUCGGCGGUUGGGGAUGGACUCGCGGCUUAUCAGCUUGUUGGUGGGGUAGUGGCUUACCAAGGCUUUGACGGGUAGCCGGCCUGAGAGGGUGACCGGCCACAUUGGGACUGAGAUACGGCCCAGACUCCUACGGGAGGCAGCAGUGGGGAAUAUUGCACAAUGGGCGGAAGCCUGAUGCAGCAACGCCGCGUGCGGGAUGACGGCCUUCGGGUUGUAAACCGCUUUCGCCUGUGACGAAGCGUGAGUGACGGUAAUGGGUAAAGAAGCACCGGCUAACUACGUG